Long non-coding RNA from Cuculus canorus (common cuckoo), 2441 nucleotides. RefSeq lists it as uncharacterized. The transcript has 7 exons. NCBI's taxonomy places the organism in Eukaryota, Metazoa, Chordata, Aves, Cuculiformes, Cuculidae. The record is from RefSeq and is a predicted model, not a curated record.
GAGCAGCAAGCUGCUUCGAGAAAGGCGAUGCAGAGCAAGUCAUUUUGGCAUAACUGCUGCAGUCCAUUCCCCCAAGCGUGUCAGCAGGACUGCCCGUCAGGGCGUGGUAGUGGAAAUGCCAACCUUGCUGAAGAGCGCUGGAAAAGAAAGCCUUGAGGUCUCCUGGGCUGUUAGAAGAUUUGGGCAGAUCACUGCCUGGAACAAGGCAAAUGAGUCCAGAGUUCGUUGCCUUCCAGAGCCCAAAUGAACUCAUCUGAAAAAUGGGAAGCAGAACAAUUUGGGAAGUGGGGAAGUGGGACAACAGCAAGGUCAGCUGUGGCAGAAUCAGGACCAGCCUCUUGUCAUCAUCUGCAAAUAGCUCACAUCACAGAUGAUCAUCUUCUCCACAUGAAGAGAAAGCAUUGCUACAUUUGGAAGAUUAAGAAUUCCAGCUCAUUAUCCAAGACACCUAUUGAAUUGCCUACGUUUCCUUUGCCUUCGUUACUGGUGGAUUAUUUUUAUUAUUAUUUGAUGAAGUGAAAAGAAUUCCAACCUGGCCUGGAACCCCUCCAGGGAUGGAGGAGCCACCACUGCUCUGGGCAAAAUCAUUUAAGGUUGGAAAAGGUCUCUGAGAUCAUCAAGUCCACCCGUCAGGUGACAGCGCCAUGCCUGCAUUGCUCACAUUUGGCCCUCACUCUGCAUCAACACUCUGGAAUAAACAUCACACUGAAUGGGAAAAAAAUCAAGUCUUUACAUUGCUCAUCUGUAUAAACUAAUGUUCCACCAAAAAAAACAGUGAUCCUGAAAAAACAAUGCUGAAAUCAUACACUUUUAAGAGCACGUACACGUGAAAUGAGCCUGGAAGAAUAUCUGUGCGCGUUGUGUUCAUCAGAUCAAACUUUGACCUUCUGCAGUAUCUGCCCUCAAGCACAGCCAACAGAAAUGGUUCCUGCACCUCCCUGGGCAGCCUGAGAACCCUUUCCAUGAAGAAAUUUGUCCUGAUGCCCAAUCUGAACCUGCCCUGGUGCAACGUGAGGCCAUUUUCUCUCAUCCCAUGACCUGUCGCUUGGGAGCAGAGCCCAGCGCCCGCCUCACCACAACCUCCUUUCCGGCAGUUGUAGACAGCGAUGAGGUCUCCCCUCAGGCUCCUCUUCUCCAGGAUAAACAAGGAUAUUGCUUGAGGCUGUGAAACGGGAGGUUUAUUUGGAGGAACUGCCAGUCUGCUAUCGCUGUGGAACUCCACAUCUGUCCAAGCAUUUAUAAAGCUGUUUCCAGACCUCAGAGGAAGAUUGCAACACGCCUCGCUCACUGAAACAGAACAAACACGUCCUGGAAAAUUGUAUUAGAGUAGCCCAGAUGGAGAUUGUCAAAAUGUAAAUCUUGGGCGUAUUCAGGAAGGUGUCUGUCUGAUGUUGCCUCACAUGACAUUUUCAGAAGCUGAGAAGUGGUGGUUUAUGUGAAGCCACCAUAUGGUGAGCGCAAUCAACAUUUUGUUAUCAAAUUCAGAGGACAUUUCAAAUGAAUUCCCGCAGGAUUUAAUCUUGAGUUCAGUUCUAUCCGAUACUCUCUUAACAGCUUACACAACGGAAUGAAGAACGUGCCCACGCAGUUUGUGGAUGGCAUCUAGGAAAGACUGCGAGAGCUUUGAAGUUAGGAUUAAACUUCUGAGCUGGACGAAUAGCACAAGAAUCACAGUGAAGCAACCCAGCCACGACAAGGGCUGUGGCGUGAUUUUAAGAAGGAAACAUAGGAGUGCCAGAUGGAAAACUGGAUUUUCCUGGUGCAGAGCAGUAUGGGGUCAGGAUGAACCCCGCAGUUGGCAAGAGAGAUGAUGCAGAACACACACACGGGGCGUUACAAUUCCACGUGUAGGACCUGGUGGCUUGGGAAAGAUCCCAGGGGAUCAGGAAGGCUGCUCCCCUUCCCCAAAGCAGGGCAAGCCUGAGCUGGAGCUGCAAGACCACUCAUUAAUGCAGAGUAUCAUGGUCUCGUUGUGUAAUUUAUUCUUCCUCCUUUCUCCCCUCAGGCAAAACUCACAGUAUACAAAUCUAAUUAAAUCAGAAAUAAUUAAUAUUUCCUGUUAUAUUUUGAAACCUCUUGGAUAACUUUUGGAAGUUCAUCUUCCAUCUCUCUGAAGGUUAUCCAGUUGGCAACCCUUGGUCCUGGGGUGCAUCAUUGCUGUGAGGGAGUCCCACAUGCGCUGGGGGUUUGAUCCCUGUGGGUCCUACAUCUCUGACCUCCAAGCCUCCUUCCCCGCCCCAAACACAGGUUGUCAACUCUUCAGGCUGGCAGAAGAGCAGCUGGAAAGCUGCCCGGCAGAGAAGGACCCGGGGGUGCUGGUCAACGGCAGCCGGACAUGAGCCAGCAGUGGCCCAGGUGGGCAAGAAGGCCAACAGCUCCUGGCUUGGAUCAGCCAUGGGGUGGCCAGUGGGAGCAGCGAAGGAUCGACCCCUGGACCCGCC